Micropterus dolomieu (smallmouth bass) is the source of this 3565-nucleotide long non-coding RNA. RefSeq lists it as uncharacterized. The record is from RefSeq and is a predicted model, not a curated record. NCBI's taxonomy places the organism in Eukaryota, Metazoa, Chordata, Actinopteri, Centrarchiformes, Centrarchidae. The transcript is spliced from 3 exons.
UUUCCUGUUUGUCCUGCAGAAGAAGAGCCCAGCGACGCCGGCAGCAGAGUACAAGAAGACCGACGAAGCUCAGCCCGACGUGAAGGAGGAGGAGGAGGAGGGAGGUGGAAGAGGAGGAGGAAGAGGAGGCUGUAGAGGCAGAGAAGAGCAGUCCAGCUGCAGAAGAGAAGAGCGAUGGAGUAGAAAGUCCUGCAGAAAAAGAGGAAGCGGAGAAGGAGGCGACGGAUGAUGGCGAGAAGCUGGAGGACGACGUUCUGCGGAGAUCCCCCAGGAACCGGGUCAGAAGGGACUGAAAUCUCUGAAUCCACAGCCCUGACCUCGACCCCUCCCUCCUUCCCUCCCCCUCCUCUCGUUCCCUAAAACUCCUCCCUUCUCCUCCUCACGUCCUCCUCCUCUGCUCCGAGGCGACGACGCCUAAAUGGAACCCGUGGAAGCAGCGAAGCCGACAGGAAACCAAUCAAGCCCUCCGAUAUGGACGCCUGAUGAAGAUGAUUCCAGUAUGAACCGGACUGACUUAGUGUGAUUAAAGGAUUUUUGUUUUUUGAAAGAGAUUAUCUAAAAAACCUUCCUGCAUCAUUCCUUAACAACACCUGAGCAGACUCGAACCCACGGGAUCUACGCGUCCCGUCCGAUUCACAGCCCACCGCCACCCUGAGCUAGCAAGUGCCCCGCCCCCCUACCAACAGCCUGCUAAUUGGCCCACAGCAGCUCGCUAAUUAGCCUCCUGACAGACACGCAUGUUGCUUUCACAAUCUGACGUAGCAUGAUCCUGUUUGGGCGGCUAACAGACUUAGCUAAUAACAAACCAACAGGAUGCUAAUGAGGCAGGAUAACCAUCAAAAAAAACAACUUAUUAGCCUAGUGACAGGCAGAGUUUGGCUAGCAACAGUCUGAUGUCGCCAUCUUCCUGCUCGGGCUACCUACUGUCUGCUAAUUAGCCAACUAUCAGGGUGCUUAUUAAGCUAACAGUAGUCUGGAAGUCACCAACCAAAAGUCUUGCCAGUUAGCUGCUAAUUAGCCAACAAAGCUGAGUCAUUAGGGAGUUUGUAAAAUUAUCCUAUAAAAUGGUGGUUGAAUGAAUCUACCAAAAGUGUUUUAGCUUGCUAAUUAGCUCCAGAGCAACUAGGUAGUACAUUUGGCUACUUGUACUACAGUGUUUUUAAAGUAGCAUCAGUACUAUCAUCAUACUUAAACCUACAAACAGUCUAAUUAGCCUAACAGCGAGGGCUGCUAACAAGCCUGCAAAUAAUGCAAUCUACUUAUCAACAACUAGCAAACAUUAGCCUGCUAAAAAGCUAAUUCACCUACUAACAGCUGAUUCAUUAGCCUUCAGCCAGCUAGCGUCGUAGAGUAGCCCACAAGGUAAAGGUGUGGCGCAGCAGGCGACGAGUAGAGACAAUUAAGUGGGAACACUCCAGCUGCCACCGUUUCUUCCUUUUUCAUCUAAUUCUUUGUCAUUUUAAGUGUUUUUUGUUCUGAAGCUUCACGUUCGCACCACCACGAACACGCAGCGCUCAUGUUUUACUGUCCUGAAGGCGGCGGGGGGGGGUCAGAGGUCAGCCGGGUCGGACCGCGGAGCCUGAGCGGUACAGGUGAGCGACAGGUGUUUGUUACCUGGUUUCUGGCAGCAGCAGACUCCAAAGUCCAGUUUAAACCCACGUACCCCUCAGCACGAAAAGCUUGUAUCUCCAGUUGUUGAGACAGGCUCGUGACACUUUGAGAUACGAGGUUUUCACUCUCCUGUAGUCCCAUUAUAUUUUCUUCGUGAGGUCGGUCCGAACAAACGCGACGGCGGCUCGUUAGCUCCUUAUGUCCCUGAGUUCAGUCUCCCAGGCAGAAUUAUGUUUUGAUAAGCAAACUGUGUUCUUGUUCCUUCCCGUUCACGUUCCUUCGCUCGAUAAAACAAGCUGCUGUCGCCUUCGUUCGGACUUCAGACGUGUCGCGUCGGCAGGUGGACAGACACUCGGUCCCUCUUUCAUCAAACCCCAUAUGAAAAGAAAAAGGCACUACGGGAAAAACUCAGGCGCUUAAACUCACACCUGUCCACCUGCGGCGCCGCCAAAACCUCCACCAAUCAGACGCCGCCCUCCUCCUCCUCCUGCUGUAAAUGGAUCCUGAAUGUCAGAGUUUCGCCCCAUGUUUUUAAGAGACGGCACUUGUGUGAAAUUCAUUCGUGACUUUGGAAAAAAUAUCAUUUUCGACAAAAACUCAACUCGAAGUCUGUCGACUAAACUCCAGAGCUUCCAGCUGCAUCUCGUGGCGUUUAAAUCUGUGACGAGAGAUCAGCUGAGCCAACUUUAAUCCUCUGAUGAAGCCCGUGAGAUGACGGUGAAAGACAAAGUUUAUUAAAUGUAUUUAACUUUAAAUUAGUUUUGGCGGAGUCGUCUGCUGCUGCCUGGCCACUUCCUGUUGGGGGCGGCUGCGGGUCACAUGACCUCAGGUACAGGCUGAGAAAUGGCCGCCAGUCACGCCUGAAAGCAGUGUUGUGUUUCGUUUGUCCGUUCGUCCAGCUGUCGACCCAGAGGUACCUCAGCGAUGUUGGCGACACCCUGAGCUUCCUUCUAGCGCCGCCGUCAGGACUUUGCACGCCAUAUUUCCUGUCCACUCGUGGUAAAACUCACGCAAGGAAGUCGUGAUGAUGAGAAAUAAUCCCACAAACUUGGUCUGUGAAGAUGCGACCGUGGGUUCGGUGUCCUCAUUGUUGUGUUCGUCAUGAAAUGGGAUUGUUGACGCUGAAGAGACGAGCGCCGCUGUACAGUACGAGAGUUCAUCGCCUUUUUAAGAAGUCGGUGUUGAAACAUUCGUCCCGUCUUGUUCUCCUCGAAGUGACUGUUACGUGUUUGUCUUUUUGUCCUCGCUGUACCAAACUUCAGUUUUCCAGAACGUUUAAACAGCUGAAAAUACGUCGUCUGUCAAAAAGUCUGUUUUAAAUACAGGUGGCUCUUCUCACCUAUCAUGAGCGAGCUUUGCCGUGAUUGGCCGCCACGUGAUGAGUUUUAAAGAGUCUGUUUGUGGGUUCAGAUUUCGGGGCCUCGAGGCGAACUGGGGGUGCCUGCCUCCAUGUCAGGUGACCUUUUAACCUUAUUUUUGCUCUUGGAGUGAAGUCGGGUUCAGGCUGCUUUGUUUGUGUUUUUUAGUCUUUAUUUUCCUCCUGUGCCGUCGCUCUAAAGCUGAAGAGUAAGAACACGACGCUUCAGGACAGAGUGAACGUCUCGCUCGCCCUCCCUCCCUCCUGUUUUCCUUUUUAGUCUCAGAUUCUGUUCUUCUCCCUGAAGCUGCCUCGCUAACAGACUGUAGACUGAACACUGUACCUGCUGGUGAAACUUUACACGACUCUGUAACGCUGUACUUGUUUUUUUUUUGUUGACAUUGUGUUUGAACUAAACCCUAAACUGUUGGCCCGGCCUGUUUCUGAUGUGCACACUAUGUAGAGAGGUGGACCUGCCGACGCGCCGCGCCAGGGUCCAGCUUCGAAAUGAAAUACUGUGAUGACGGAGGCCGAUGUGUGUGUGGACAUGCAGUCAACGUUUGUUUUGAUGAAUAAAAAGGCCAAAUGGAAACUGAA